CAGCAGCCGCGGUAAUACGAAGGGGGCUAGCGUUGUUCGGAUUUACUGGGCGUAAAGGGCGCGUAGGCGGGCGAAUAAGUCAGGGGUGAAAUCCCAAGGCUCAACCUUGGAACUGCUUUUGAUACUGUUUGUCUUGAGUCCGGGAGAGGUGAGUGGAACUGCGAGUGUAGAGGUGAAAUUCGUAGAUAUUCGCAAGAACACCAGUGGCGAAGGCGGCUCACUGGCCCGGAACUGACGCUGAGGCGCGAAAGCGUGGGGAGCAAACAGGAUUAGAUACCCGAGUAGUCCCUGUCUCUUAUAA
This 301-nucleotide ribosomal RNA is filed under the name uncultured bacterium. Its description in RNAcentral is "partial 16S ribosomal RNA". It matches the Rfam family "Bacterial small subunit ribosomal RNA", at positions 509 to 809 of the family's 1533-position model. The record is from RNAcentral.